Molecule: RNA transcript, 1658 nt
Organism: Rhodamnia argentea
Lineage: Eukaryota; Viridiplantae; Streptophyta; Magnoliopsida; Myrtales; Myrtaceae
Gene name: F-box protein At3g07870-like
Exons: 2
Source: RefSeq, a predicted model, not a curated record
GGUUAACUUGAUUUCCUCACUCAGUUCUCACCCAAUCUCACCACCACGCAUCACUUGUCAAACCCUAGCUGCCAUGAGUUCCGAUGACCACCCGAAGCUCCCUCAAGACGUCGUUGUCGAGAUCCUCAAGCUUUUGCCGGUGGAAUCUCUCCUCCGAUUCAGGUGCGUUUGCCGAUCAUGGCGUUCCACCAUUGAUGACCCUUCUUUCGUUUCCCUCCACUUGAAUAGCUCCUCUCUCGGUGCCUCCAAUUGGCACACCGUGUGUCUAGAUUGGAGCGAUCCUGUCCAAAAGCUGUGCUCUGUGUUCUCCGAUGAGUCUCUUACCCUGCCUCCUCAGUCGCAAAUCGAAAUUCCGUUUGGCAGCUCUUACCAAAUUGUGGGUUCUUGUAAUGGUUUGAUCUGCGUCGCAGAAUUUAACGAAAUGCGCUCUGGACGGACCAUUCACUUGUGGAAUUUAUUCACCAGAAAGCACAAGGCGGUUCUACUACCCGGUCUAGAUCAUCAAUGGAUAGAUAUAGGAUUUGGCUUUGACGCCAGGUCUAAUGACUAUAAGAUUGUGAAAUUUCCACUUGAUCGUCCAUGCUCUCGAGUCGAGAUUUACUCACUCAGCACAGAUUCUUGGAGAUGUUUGGAGUGUGAGGUACCUCCUGUCGCAGACAUGGACCCCGCAGUCUUCUUCAAUGGGAAUCUGCACUGGUUUUUUUUAAAGUUCGAUAAUGUGCCAAUGGAGCGGAUAGACGGAUCAAUUGUUUUGUUCGAUGUCGCAGGUGAGGUGUUUGAUGAAAUGGCUCUGCCGGAAGAGUUUUUGGCUCGUAAUAUUCUUGGUUAUUUUGCAGUACUGAAUGGCUUGCUGGCAUUGUUUAUUAGUCGCAUCGAGGGAUAUGUGUAUCUUAAUUUGUAUUCCGUUUGUUCUGUUUGGGUUAUGAGGGAGUAUGGCGUGCCUGAGUCGUGGACUAAGCUAUAUAAUUUUGAGGCUCGUACAAUUGUAAGGGAAAUUUGUGGCUUCGCGAGGAAUGGCGAGCUUCUAAUGGUCACGGGUGGUGACGAACGAGUUUCUUGGAAUCAAGUCACAAGACAAUUCGAAGAUCUUCAUUUAUCGACGAAAUGCGAUAUGGUCGCCGUUGUAGAGAGCCUCGUUUCACUUUAGUACUUUAGAUAUGACUUUGAUCGCAGCUGCAUUUACCAGCUUGCUGAAACGUUGAAAGAUACAUCUAAACUGAGAAGAAAUGGUCUUAUUCAUCUACGCCAUGGCCACAAAAUGAUGAGCAGAGAAAGUGAGGUGUCGUCCUUUUACUUUUGGCACUUCUUGCAAGCUUUAAAAUGCGUUUUCAUUCACCUUAUUUUUUCUUUAGACUAGUGGAGUGCGUUCUUUGUACGAGUGAAAGUAUGCAACUCAAGACAGUAUCUACAACUUCAGCAUUGCUGCUACGAGUAGAGUUUAGAUGAUGCAGACAAAAAUGACCCAACCUUUUGAAUGGUAUGCACGUAUGUGUUUGAUUUGAUGAUGCCACCAUAUGCAUUUUUCAGCUCCUAUAAGACCAAACUACACAGUUUGAAUUUAUGCCACCAUAUAACUUGAUUGGAGCAAGCACGACUUAUCAAAGUACAUGUAUCAUCUUUUGUGUCUCCUUAAGUAUUGGAGUACAUCUCCUCACUCA